CCUACGGGGGGCUGCAGUGAGGAAUAUUGCACAAUGGGGGAAACCCUGAUGCUGCGACGCCGCGUGGGUGAAGAAGCGCCUCGGCGCGUAAAGCCCUGUCAGCAGGGAAGAAAAUGACGGUAACUGAAGAAGAAGCCCCGGCUAACUCGGUGCCAGCAGCCGCGGUAAUACGUAGGGGGCAAGCGUGAUCCGGAUUUACUGGGUGGAGAGGUGGCGCAGGCGGCGGUGCAAGCCAGGAGUGAAAGCCCGGGGCCCAACCCCGGGACGGCGCAUGGAACUGCGUGGCUAGAGUGCAGGAGGGGGAGGCGGAAUUCCUGGUGUAGCAGUGAAAUGCGUAGAUAUCAGGAGGAACACCGGUGGCGAAGGCGGGCUGCUGGACUGCAACUGACGUUGAGGCCCGAAGGCGUGGGGAGCAAACAGGAUUAGAUACCCUUGUAGUC
RNAcentral lists this ribosomal RNA (440 nucleotides) under uncultured bacterium. RNAcentral's name for it is "partial 16S ribosomal RNA". It matches the Rfam family "Bacterial small subunit ribosomal RNA", at positions 338 to 795 of the family's 1533-position model. The record is from RNAcentral.